This is a long non-coding RNA of Scomber japonicus (chub mackerel), 322 nucleotides long. RefSeq lists it as uncharacterized. The transcript is spliced from 3 exons. Lineage: Eukaryota; Metazoa; Chordata; Actinopteri; Scombriformes; Scombridae. The record is from RefSeq and is a predicted model, not a curated record.
UGGAAGAGGCUCCACCUUAUCAUCCAGUGAAGAGCCAUCAAACAGUGUUCAUGUCAACAUCCACAGGUUCCCGUCAUCUCCUUCACCUGCUCCAGUUGCUCCGGACUUCACUCCUUCUUCAUACAGGAACUCAAACAAAGAGGAUGAUGUCAACACUUUUCAUGAAGCCGAGGCUACCUACUCAACAGUGACCAUCAAACCCAGAAACCCCGGUCCUCCACGUCAUAGGAAAAACAGCAAUGCACCACAGGACUCCAGGUCUGCAGCAGGAGAGAACGACAACUCUGUAAUCUAUUCUACCAUCAAUAAAUCCAGUUGAGUC